Long non-coding RNA from Tachysurus fulvidraco (yellow catfish), 1112 nucleotides. RefSeq lists it as uncharacterized. The record is from RefSeq and is a predicted model, not a curated record. The transcript has 2 exons. Lineage: Eukaryota; Metazoa; Chordata; Actinopteri; Siluriformes; Bagridae.
CAUGCUGCUUAGUGACAUCACGACAACCAGGAUUAAAUAACAUGCUGCUUACUGACAUCAUGACAAUCAGAAUUAAAUAACAUGCUGCUUAGUGACAUCAUGACAAUCAGGAAUAAAUAACAUGCUGCUUAGUGACAUCAUGACAAUCAGAAUUAAAUAACAUGCUGCUUAGUGACAUCAUGACAAUCAGAAUUAAAUAACAUGCUGCUUAGUGACAUCAUGACAAUCAGAAUUAAAUAACAUGCUGCUUAGUGACAUCAUGACAAUCAGAAUUAAAUAACAUGCUGCUUAGUGACAUCAUGACAAUCAGAAUUAAAUAACAUGCUGCUUAGUGACAUCAUGACAAUCAGGAAUAAAUAACAUGCUGCUUAGUGACAUCAUGACAACCGGGAUUAAAUAACAUGCUGCUUAGUGACAUCAUGACAACCAGGAUUAAAUAACAUGCUGCUUAGUGACAUCAUGACAACCGGGAUUAAAUAACAUGCUGCUUAGUGACAUCAUGACAACCGGGAUUAAAUAACAUGCUGUGUAAUGACUGCUCUUGCUGUUCAGCUGCACGAAACCUUUACAGUGCUGAAGAGGAAAUAGUAAGCGUAAUGUUCCUUCUGUGACAUCAAACUCUUUAAUUGAAAAGAAAAAGUAAGUCAAGUCCAGUUCUUCAUGAUCUCACUCUUUAAACAUUAAUAAAGCUGGUCUGAGAGACAGACGGGGGGAGAUUUACGACGGGGUGCAGGUGGCUCGUCAGCGCACGCAAUCAAUUAUAAAUGAUAUUAAAAAUCAGAUCUAUCUGCAUAUCGGCUGAGUUAAUGUUUUAUAGCUGAGUGGGGUGGAGGGCUGGGGGCAGAUCUCACCAAGACACCAAGAGCUGCCAGCAGUGUUGAUUGGAGAGCUGGCUGUGACAGUAAGGCUUGGAGGUGAAGACCCUCAGAGACGUCUCAAUGCUGUGUUCUGCCCUCUGGCUGUCCUGUGAUGAGACCAAACAGCCUUUCUUGUUCUCCAUCUCUUCUUCAGACGUGUAUCUGUUUACACGAUAACGACCAAACAUGCAGCAGAUUAACACCUUUUUUUUUUCUUGAAUUGUUUUGGCCUCCAAUAAAGUCCCAUUUCCUUGA